RNAcentral lists this ribosomal RNA (253 nucleotides) under uncultured bacterium. RNAcentral's name for it is "partial 16S ribosomal RNA". It matches the Rfam family "Bacterial small subunit ribosomal RNA", at positions 524 to 776 of the family's 1533-position model. The record is from RNAcentral.
UACAGAGGGUGCGAGCGUUAAUCGGAAUUACUGGGCGUAAAGCGCACGUAGGUGGCGACGUAAGUCGGGUGUGAAAGCCCCGGGCUCAACCUGGGAAUUGCAUUCGAGACUGCAUUGCUGGAGUACGGAAGAGGAAGGCGGAAUUCCCGGUGUAGCGGUGAAAUGCGUAGAUAUCGGAAGGAACAUCAGUGGCGAAAGCGGCUUCCUGGACCAGCACCGACGUUCAGGCACGAAAGCGUGGGGAGCAAACAGG